CGGCUCCGGGCGGCAGCUAUGAGGCGGGACGUGCGCAUCCUGUUACUGGGCGAGGCCCAGGUGGGGAAGACGUCGCUGAUCCUGUCCCUGGUGGGCGAGGAGUUCCCCGAGGAGGUAAGGGGCACGCCCGCCGCGGGGGUGGGAGCGGGCCCAGCCGGGGGUCCCUGGUGAGCGCGCGGGUCCCUUGCAGGUCCCUCCCCGCGCGGAGGAGAUCACGAUCCCCGCGGACGUCACCCCGGAGAAGGUGCCCACCCACAUCGUGGACUACUCAGAAGCCGAGCAGACGGACGAGGAGCUGCGGGAGGAGAUCCACAAGGCAAACGUGGUGUGUGUGGUGUAUGACGUCUCUGAGGAGGCCACCAUUGAGAAGAUUCGAACUAAGUGGAUCCCACUGGUGAAUGGGGGGACCACGCGGGGGCCCAGGUAAUGAGGGGGAUGUGGAAGGGGCUGGGACUCCUGGCUCCCCUGCCCCUGGUGACCAUGGGCCUUCAACCCAGGGUGCCCAUCAUCCUAGUGGGCAACAAGUCAGACCUGCGGUCGGGGAGCUCCAUGGAGGCCGUGCUCCCCAUCAUGAGCCAGUUUCCCGAGAUUGAGACCUGCGUGGAGUGUUCGGCCAAGAACCUGAGGAACAUCUCAGAGCUGUUCUACUACGCCCAGAAGGCCGUCCUGCAUCCCACAGCCCCCCUCUA
This 689-nucleotide small RNA is filed under the name Pan troglodytes (chimpanzee). Its description in RNAcentral is "retained intron". The record is from RNAcentral. Lineage: Eukaryota; Metazoa; Chordata; Mammalia; Primates; Hominidae.